AAUGGCACGUGCUUGCAGUCCCAGCUACUUGGGACUGGGGUAGGAGGAUCACUUGAGCCCAGGAGUUCUGGACUAUUGGGUGCUAUGGCGAUCGGGUGUCCACAUUAAGUUUGGCAUUAGUUUGAUGACCUCCUGGGAGUAGAGGACCACCAAGUUGCCUAAGGAGGAUGAAUCAGCCCAGGCAGGAAAUGGAGUGUAAUGAUCAGUUGUGGAAUUGUGCCUGUGAACAGCCAGUGUAUUCCAGCCUGGGCAACACAGCGAGAUCCUGUCUCU
Unclassified non-coding RNA from Rhinopithecus bieti (black snub-nosed monkey), 273 nucleotides. It matches the Rfam family "Metazoan signal recognition particle RNA". From Rfam's summary of the family: The signal recognition particle (SRP) is a universally conserved ribonucleoprotein. It is involved in the co-translational targeting of proteins to membranes. The eukaryotic SRP consists of a 300-nucleotide 7S RNA and six proteins: SRPs 72, 68, 54, 19, 14, and 9. The record is from Ensembl. Lineage: Eukaryota; Metazoa; Chordata; Mammalia; Primates; Cercopithecidae.